Non-coding RNA from Chelonoidis abingdonii (Abingdon island giant tortoise), 294 nucleotides. NCBI's taxonomy places the organism in Eukaryota, Metazoa, Chordata, Testudines, Testudinidae. The record is from RefSeq and is a predicted model, not a curated record.
ACCCCAGGGCCCUGCCCCUUCAUGCCAGGGCACCAGGUGUGGGUAGGCAGGCAGGCUCAGCAAGACAGGAUCCAGGUGUGGAGGGAUCCAGAUGUGGGGUAAGAGGGUUCUGUGUGGGGCAGUCUGGGUGCGGGUGGCUCAGUGGGGGAUCCGGGUGUCUGGGGUGGGGGAUCUGGAUGCACAGGGGCUAGUUGGGGAGUUCUGGGUGCAGUGGUAAUAGGACUCUGCAGGGAGGUCCAGGUGAAGGUGGUUGGGGCUCACCAGGGUGUCUGGGUGUGGGGGACUCAAUGUAGU